CUUUACGUUUGUUUUGCCCUUUUGGGGCUAAUUUCAGCCUUGCAAGUGAACCUUGUUUUAUACAAUUACAUCCACCAGUCAGCCAGCUCACAGACGCGUCUGCUGCGGCCAAUACUUUUAUUGGUCACAUGGUCCGUCACAUGGACCCGACGCACUAGCGUAGCUUCCGCAAACAAUGCAUGACGCAUCACGCUGUUACGAUUCAUCGGCCAAUCAGGUAGCUUUGUUCCUGAAUUUUUUUUAGGCUACGUGUGGACGCAGAUAUUUUUGAGAACUAACACGUGUGGACAGAUACAUUUAUUUAGACGGGAGUACAAAAAUAUCCUGAUAAAUAAAUAUCCAUAUACGUGUAGUUCGGG
Xyrichtys novacula (pearly razorfish) is the source of this 359-nucleotide non-coding RNA. NCBI's taxonomy places the organism in Eukaryota, Metazoa, Chordata, Actinopteri, Labriformes, Labridae. The record is from the annotation of a GenBank genome assembly.